RNAcentral lists this long non-coding RNA (975 nucleotides) under Danio rerio (zebrafish). Its description in RNAcentral is "lncRNA (ENSDARG00000117223.1)". Lineage: Eukaryota; Metazoa; Chordata; Actinopteri; Cypriniformes; Danionidae. The record is from RNAcentral.
GUUCGUUGUGGUGUGUCGAGUGUGGUUUGCUUCUGAGAAUUGUUGCUGAGUCGUGUGCUGCUUGCUUGUAUUUGAGAAUGGCUUCAAAAUCCUGUUUCCCGUACUUCCGUGCUGAGCCCAUUAUUGUGCAGUGCAUCGGCCAUAGGACUACAGCUAGUAGUGUAGAUUUUUCAAUCAAAGAUGGUCAAAUUUGCAAAGGUGCUCAAAGAAUUGUUCAUUUAAGUGUUGUUGCGAACAAUGAAAAAACCUACAUGGUACCAUGGAACUCCCCUGAAGCACCAUUUCAGGAAGGGUUGACCUAUGUAAUUAAAAACUACACUACUAGCUGUAAAUAUGGUCAAGAUCGUUUAUUUAUUAGUGCAAAAAGUACAAUUUUUAGAACUGCUCCUCUUGACCUGGCCGAGUCUGUUACCAACGCCGCCCUUCAAAUACUGCAUCCCCCCUCAAUCCAUCUGACAGGGGGGGAACAUGACCUCUAUACAAGAGGGGGGUACCUCACCCUCAAAGGGACCAUUAAAAAUCUACAGGUACCAAGAAUGGCCAUGGUGCAAAGCUCUGAGGUGCCGAUUCUUGACUUUGUACUCCAGUGUGGUCAAAACACAUUUGAUGUCUCUUUAUGGCGGGACACGGCCUUGGAGGAGCUUCAGCUGAACUCAGAAGUGACAGUGACGCACCUUAAAGCGGUCGUGAGGAGAGAUGGAUCGAGGAAAUUAAACUCCUCUGCUUACACAAGGAUUGAGAUUGCUGAUCAGGGACAGACAGCUAAAAACAUCAAAGUCAUUGGACUACAUGAAAGCGAUGAGGAGCUCACACUCCUGCUUGAAGACUUCAGUGAGCUGAAAGCUUCAGCUAAACUUUUUGAACUUUCAGGGGAUGAGCUUAUUUCCCAACUUCCAUUUAUUGCAGAAGUAACUGAGCAAUUGGGGAAAGUCAUUGAAAUCAAGAGGUUGAUAUUUAAUGAAGUGUGAGUUUCCC